Molecule: ribosomal RNA, 805 nt
Filed under: Vibrio sp.
Lineage: Bacteria; Pseudomonadati; Pseudomonadota; Gammaproteobacteria; Vibrionales; Vibrionaceae
Description: bacterial SSU rRNA
Rfam family: Bacterial small subunit ribosomal RNA
Source: RNAcentral
GAGGGGGGGUAGAAUUUCAGGUGUAGCGGUGAAAUGUGUAGAGAUGUGAAGGAAUCCCGGUGGAGAAGGCGGCCCCCUGGACAGAUACUGACAGUCAGAUGCGAAAGCGUGGGGAGCAAACAGGAUUAGAUACCCUGGUAGUCCACGCUGUAAACGAUGUCUACUUGGAGGUUGUGGCCUUGAGCCGUGGCUUUCGGAGCUAACGCGUUAAGUAGACCGCCUGGGGAGUACGGUCGCAAGAUUAAAACUCAAAUGAAUUGACGGGGGCCCGCACAAGCGGUGGAGCAUGUGGUUUAAUUCGAUGCAACGCGAAGAACCUUACCUACUCUUGACAUCCAUAGAACUUAGCAGAGAUGCUUUGGUGCCUUCGGGAACUAUGAGACAGGUGCUGCAUGGCUGUCGUCAGCUCGUGUUGUGAAAUGUUGGGUUAAGUCCCGCAACGAGCGCAACCCUUAUCCUUGUUUGCCAGCACUUCGGGUGGGAACUCCAGGGAGACUGCCGGUGAUAAACCGGAGGAAGGUGGGGACGACGUCAAGUCAUCAUGGCCCUUACGAGUAGGGCUACACACGUGCUACAAUGGCGCAUACAGAGGGCGGCCAACUUGCGAGAGUGAGCGAAUCCCAAAAAGUGCGUCGUAGUCCGGAUUGGAGUCUGCAACUCGACUCCAAGAAGUCGGAAUCGGUAGUAAUCGUGGAUCAGAAUGCCACGGUGAAUACGUUCCCGGGCCUUGUACACACCGCCCGUCACACCAUGGGAGUGGGCUGCAAAAGAAGCAGGUAGUUUAACCUUCGGGAGCACGCUGCCA